This is a non-coding RNA of Podarcis lilfordi (Lilford's wall lizard), 72 nucleotides long. The record is from the annotation of a GenBank genome assembly. NCBI's taxonomy places the organism in Eukaryota, Metazoa, Chordata, Lepidosauria, Squamata, Lacertidae.
GGGGACGUGGCUCAGUGGUAGAGCAUCUGCUUUGCAUGCAGAAGGUCCUAAGUUCAAUCCCCAGCAUCUCUU